GAUUUCAACUCUUUUGAAAUGUCACGAACGUCGAAACAAAUCUAUCAAAUGUGUCAAAAAUUGACAUGCCAGGUUUGCGAUUUAAUUUCAUUUUAAAUAGACACGAAAAGACGCCAGGCCAGAGCAUUAAGGGUUGCAGUGUUAUCGAGCAUUUCUGAACGCCACUGCAAUACAUUUCAGUUUCAAAAAUUGUAAAUUGUCAGAAAAACGUUUAAGGGCUUUGUCAUGAAUUACACCUUGGAAAGUCGAUUGGAGUUGAACAGAAUAAAUCAUCUGGUCUGUUUUGCAAAGAAGCAAUAAUUUUUCAAAUAAUGAAAUCCAAAAAGUACCCUGAAGGUAAAAAUUGUGAAAAAUCACGUAAUGGACAAUGGCAGAGCAAGUCUUAUCACAGUUAACGAACACUAUGAGUACCUAAUGAGUUUUUGCAGUAAAUAAUUUUGCCAAAGUUGUGAUCCCGCGAAAGUUCUGUUUGUAAAUUGUAAGGAAUCGUCAAAAUAUUGGUGCAGACAUGGUUUGUGACCGGUGCUUUUCUCUUGAAAAAACACAACUGAAAGCCUUGAUCUUCAUCCCUACAAUAGGUGAAAACUGCUAUGUCCAAACAUUACCUUCAGCUUUGCAGUUUCUAGAUAUCUGAAACAUGCCAGAUCUGCAUAACAGGAAUGUCAAAGAGGUUCUACCCAAAACACGCCCACAUGGCCAUCCUAAUAUCAAGAUUUUUCAAAAUUUCUAUAACAAAAAAGAUGAAAAAACCAAUAAAAUUUCAGGAGCAUAGUGUUAAGAGUUCUGUAGAUGAUUAUGAGAUCUCUUGAAACAACAGAAUGUUUAAUAAAGAUUUUUAACUUUCCUAAUAGUAAAAUUACAAUUAUUACUAAACAGUAAGUUGAAGUAAGUUUUAAAUUAAGAGAAUGCAACUAACACCGAAAGAAAAAUGAAAGUUACUGAAAAUAAAAAACUUUAUUGCAGUACCUACAUACACUUUCUACAUCUAAUUUUGUUUAUCAAUAGAUCACAUUCAUUUACUUGAAAAAGUAUCAGGCCUAUGAAUCGUCGUCUGGAAACAGCUAACCACACACCAACCUUCAUUGCGUGUGAUGGUGUUUCUUCAAAAGCGUGAGUAUUUUCUAUACACCAAAUUCUGAAGUUCUGUCAGUUGACAUAAUAGCCUAACAGAUGAAACCAGGCUUCAUCAGAAAAGAACGACAAAUCGAGAAUCCCGUUAUCGUCCAUAUCAGCUUGAAACCAACUACAAUACCCAACGCGGCAAGGAAAAUCAGCUGGUUGCAGCUCCUGAACCAACAAAAUCUUGUAUGGAUGCAUAUGUAACUUCUCUUUUACGAUUUUCUGACAUGGGCUGUAUGGUACUCCGGACAGUAAAGAUUUUUGACAAA
Molecule: long non-coding RNA, 1388 nt
Organism: Zophobas morio
Lineage: Eukaryota; Metazoa; Arthropoda; Insecta; Coleoptera; Tenebrionidae
Exons: 2
Source: RefSeq, a predicted model, not a curated record